Long non-coding RNA from Anthonomus grandis grandis, 382 nucleotides. RefSeq lists it as uncharacterized. The transcript is spliced from 3 exons. The record is from RefSeq and is a predicted model, not a curated record. Lineage: Eukaryota; Metazoa; Arthropoda; Insecta; Coleoptera; Curculionidae.
GCAGUGUGUUAUAAGGUAAAAAUAUGUGUUAAAAGAUUAGUUUAUUGCCUAUUUACCAUCGAAUUCCACAACUGUAUGAUGAUUUCUUGAAGAUUAUGCAGUCGGUUUCCUAAUCCUAAUGGCAACCCUUAUAUUUGGGACAACCUUUUUAUACAAUUGUCCAGAAAACAAAUCUAAAAAAAUGGCAUUAUUUUCUGAAUAUCCGCAGAGCAGAACUAGAUACUCGGAAUCGCUUAUUGCACGAAACAUAGUCCUGUUGUUAAAUUGGAACUAGUUUCGAGUAACAAAAGCAAACGCGGCUCUCACAUCACAUUAGCAAAUCAUUGAAUCCAGGUGGUGCGGAAAUCAGGAUAGGGACACAUAAAGUGAAGCGUGUUCUGCC